GACGAACGCUGGCGGCGUGCUUAACACAUGCAAGUCGAACGAAGUGGCGAAAGGGGGAGUAAUACGUGGGUAACCUGCGCUCAUUUUGGGGGUAAGCCUUGGAAACGGGGACUAAUACCGACUAAAGGGGGAGGGGCUCGGGGCCUAUCAGGUUGUUGGUGGGGGGAGGGCCUACCCAGGCGGUGACGGGUAGCCGGGCUGAGAGGGUGAACGGGCACAUGGGGACGGAGAGACGGCCCAAGCGCGUACGGGAGGCAGCAGGGGGGGCUAUUGGUGCAUGGGCGAAAGACUGAUGCAGCGUCGCCGCGUGGGGGAUGAAGGCUUUAGGGUUGUAACCCUCUUUCGCUAUCGAACGGGUAGGUAUAGAAGAAGCGCCGGCUAACUCCGUGCCAGCAGCCGCGGUAAUAC
This 408-nucleotide ribosomal RNA is filed under the name uncultured bacterium. Its description in RNAcentral is "partial 16S ribosomal RNA". It matches the Rfam family "Bacterial small subunit ribosomal RNA", at positions 28 to 526 of the family's 1533-position model. The record is from RNAcentral.